Molecule: long non-coding RNA, 425 nt
Organism: Ornithorhynchus anatinus (platypus)
Lineage: Eukaryota; Metazoa; Chordata; Mammalia; Monotremata; Ornithorhynchidae
Exons: 2
Source: RefSeq, a predicted model, not a curated record
GGCUGCGCCAUCAACCGGGCGCUCCGGCCCCGGGGGAGGGCGGUGGGGCCCGGAGGACCGAGCCGCCCCGAGCCGCCCCGACGCACCCCGACGCGCCCCGAGGCACCCCCAGGCGGCCGGGGAGGCCGGCGGAGCGGAGGACACGUCGCCGGGAACCGGUUGGACGAGCAGGGAGGUCGCCGGGGCCCAGAAGAGGCGGUCCGAGCCCUUGGGCUCCGGUUGGGGCCGAGGCGUUUGGGCGGGGAGGGCCCGUGGCGCCAACGACUCUCCGUCUGCGACUUUCUUUGGUAGCUUUCUGAGAAAUCUGAAAUCUUGCUCCUGAAACCGGACAUUUUGGAAAGAUGAUUAGAAAGGAGAAAGAAGUUAAUCGCUGCAACUACUUCGAUGCCUAUUUUUUUCCCCAAUAAAAUACUGUCUUGUCUUUA